GAGCCUACAGAGGCAGGCAGGCCUCCUUGAGCUGUGGUGGGCUCCGCCCAGUUGGAGCUUCCUGGCUGCUUUGUUUACCUAAUCAAGCCUGGGCAAUGGCGGGCGCCCCUCCCCCCGCCUCGCUGCCGCCUUGCAGUUUGAUCUCAGACUGCUGUGCUAGCAAUCAGCGAGACUCCGUGGGCGUAGGACCCUCCGAGCCAGAGAUGGGAUCUUACUACAUUGCCCAGGCUGAAGUGCAGUGGCUAUUAACAGCUGUAAUCAUAAUGCAUUGCAGCUUUGAAUUCCUGGGCUUGAGCGACCUCCCCACCUUAGCCUCCUGAGUAGCUGAGACUACAGAUGUGCCUUGCUUCUCCUUCAUUUUCUGCCAUGACUGUAAGUUCCCUGAGGCCUUCCCAUCCAUGUGGAACUGCACUGUCCUAGGUACUGUGGGGACCAAAACAUUCAGACCUGCUUCUAAGGAGUGCAGUCCAUGGAAGAGUCAGAAUAACAAAUCAACAUUUGUACUACACCAGACCAGCUCUCUUCUAAGGUUGCUAUGACUUCCCAGCAGGCAUUCUAAUAUAUGCAUUCUUCAUAACAACUGUGUGAAACAUAUUAAUAUCCUCAUUGUUAACGAUGAAGAAACUAAAUCUCAGGAAGAAAAACUAAGUGAAGACAAAAGAAGGAUUUGAACUGAGGUUUGUCAGACUCUCGGGACCAUGCUGUUGAAACCACUAAACCACGCUGCCUCUGGGUCACUUGAUUAUUCUGGGAGAUUCUGGGAGUCUUUUCUCCAACACUCCAGUGGCAUCUGACUAUGUGAGCUGAUAAGAUCUAUAGAUCUUUGCUGAACCUGAUUCUGGAAGGUACAACAAUUUCGGCCAUCUUCCUAAUCAAUACUGUGAGAUGGGACCAAAUUGAUUGUGUGGUACAUGAAGCACAGCCCAGGAAAAGCUGAUGAGACCUAGACACCAUUAUAUAUUUUGCCUGACUUAUUAACUUACUCUGUGUCAAAAUUGAGUCCGUUUUUGAUAAAAAUACAGUACUGAGGAACUGUUUCUUUCCUCCUUCUCCAUGUCCUUGUCUCUUCUUGGUUAACAAACCUGACUAGCAAUUGUUUUUCUUUUUUCUUUUUUUGCAGUGUUUGUGAAGAUUUUCUAACCUGGUAUCACACGG
RNAcentral lists this long non-coding RNA (1155 nucleotides) under Homo sapiens (human). Its description in RNAcentral is "HSALNT0064739". Lineage: Eukaryota; Metazoa; Chordata; Mammalia; Primates; Hominidae. The record is from RNAcentral.